This is a long non-coding RNA of Sinocyclocheilus rhinocerous, 88 nucleotides long. RefSeq lists it as uncharacterized. NCBI's taxonomy places the organism in Eukaryota, Metazoa, Chordata, Actinopteri, Cypriniformes, Cyprinidae. The record is from RefSeq and is a predicted model, not a curated record. The transcript is spliced from 3 exons.
AAAAAAUUUUUUUACACAUUCAAGCGAUUAGUCAACAGAAGAGACAGACGGCUGCACGUGUGUGUUCUGCGUAAUACUUGUUUAUAGA